RNAcentral lists this ribosomal RNA (256 nucleotides) under Syllis crassicirrata. RNAcentral's name for it is "partial 18S ribosomal RNA". It matches the Rfam family "Eukaryotic small subunit ribosomal RNA", at positions 452 to 706 of the family's 1831-position model. Lineage: Eukaryota; Metazoa; Annelida; Polychaeta; Phyllodocida; Syllidae. The record is from RNAcentral.
UGACACGGGGAGGUAGUGACGAUCAAUAACGAAACGGGACUCAGUCGAGGCUCCGUUAUCGGAAUGAGUACACUUUAAAUCCUUUAACGAGGAUCUAUUGGAGGGCAAGUCUGGUGCCAGCAGCCGCGGUAAUUCCAGCUCCAUUAGUGUAUACUAAAGUUGCUGUGGUUAAAAAGCUCGUAGUUGGUUCUGGGGUCUUACCGCUGCGUUCGUCUCGGGGUCAUAUGAAAGGCUCUGCCGACCUCGAUGUACGGCC